This 1554-nucleotide ribosomal RNA is filed under the name Escherichia coli. Its description in RNAcentral is "bacterial SSU rRNA". It matches the Rfam family "Bacterial small subunit ribosomal RNA". The record is from RNAcentral. Lineage: Bacteria; Pseudomonadati; Pseudomonadota; Gammaproteobacteria; Enterobacterales; Enterobacteriaceae.
AAAUUGAAGAGUUUGAUCAUGGCUCAGAUUGAACGCUGGCGGCAGGCCUAACACAUGCAAGUCGAACGGUAACAGGAAGCAGCUUGCUGCUUCGCUGACGAGUGGCGGACGGGUGAGUAAUGUCUGGGAAACUGCCUGAUGGAGGGGGAUAACUACUGGAAACGGUAGCUAAUACCGCAUAACGUCGCAAGACCAAAGAGGGGGACCUUCGGGCCUCUUGCCAUCGGAUGUGCCCAGAUGGGAUUAGCUUGUUGGUGGGGUAACGGCUCACCAAGGCGACGAUCCCUAGCUGGUCUGAGAGGAUGACCAGUCACACUGGAACUGAGACACGGUCCAGACUCCUACGGGAGGCAGCAGUGGGGAAUAUUGCACAAUGGGCGCAAGCCUGAUGCAGCCAUGCCGCGUGUAUGAAGAAGGCCUUCGGGUUGUAAAGUACUUUCAGCGGGGAGGAAGGGAGUAAAGUUAAUACCUUUGCUCAUUGACGUUACCCGCAGAAGAAGCACCGGCUAACUCCGUGCCAGCAGCCGCGGUAAUACGGAGGGUGCAAGCGUUAAUCGGAAUUACUGGGCGUAAAGCGCACGCAGGCGGUUUGUUAAGUCAGAUGUGAAAUCCCCGGGCUCAACCUGGGAACUGCAUCUGAUACUGGCAAGCUUGAGUCUCGUAGAGGGGGGUAGAAUUCCAGGUGUAGCGGUGAAAUGCGUAGAGAUCUGGAGGAAUACCGGUGGCGAAGGCGGCCCCCUGGACGAAGACUGACGCUCAGGUGCGAAAGCGUGGGGAGCAAACAGGAUUAGAUACCCUGGUAGUCCACGCCGUAAACGAUGUCGACUUGGAGGUUGUGCCCUUGAGGCGUGGCUUCCGGAGCUAACGCGUUAAGUCGACCGCCUGGGGAGUACGGCCGCAAGGUUAAAACUCAAAUGAAUUGACGGGGGCCCGCACAAGCGGUGGAGCAUGUGGUUUAAUUCGAUGCAACGCGAAGAACCUUACCUGGUCUUGACAUCCACGGAAGUUUUCAGAGAUGAGAAUGUGCCUUCGGGAACCGUGAGACAGGUGCUGCAUGGCUGUCGUCAGCUCGUGUUGUGAAAUGUUGGGUUAAGUCCCGCAACGAGCGCAACCCUUAUCCUUUGUUGCCAGCGGUCCGGCCGGGAACUCAAAGGAGACUGCCAGUGAUAAACUGGAGGAAGGUGGGGAUGACGUCAAGUCAUCAUGGCCCUUACGACCAGGGCUACACACGUGCUACAAUGGCGCAUACAAAGAGAAGCGACCUCGCGAGAGCAAGCGGACCUCAUAAAGUGCGUCGUAGUCCGGAUUGGAGUCUGCAACUCGACUCCAUGAAGUCGGAAUCGCUAGUAAUCGUGGAUCAGAAUGCCACGGUGAAUACGUUCCCGGGCCUUGUACACACCGCCCGUCACACCAUGGGAGUGGGUUGCAAAAGAAGUAGGUAGCUUAACCUUCGGGAGGGCGCUUACCACUUUGUGAUUCAUGACUGGGGUGAAGUCGUAACAAGGUAACCGUAGGGGAACCUGCGGUUGGAUCACCUCCUUACCUUAAAGAAGC